UACAGAGGGUGCUAGCGUUGUUCGGAAUCAUUGGGCGUAAAGGGCGUGUAGGCGGUUUGUUAAGUCAUGUGUGAAAUCCCUCGGCUCAACCGGGGAACGACGCAUGAAACUGGCAAGCUAGAGUACCAAAGAGGGGGGUGGAAUUCCCGGUGUAGCGGUGAAAUGCGCAGAUAUCAGGAAGAACACCCGUGGCGAAGGCGGCUUUCUGGGACGGUACUGACGCUGAGACGCGAAAGCGUGGGGAGCGAACAGG
Molecule: ribosomal RNA, 253 nt
Filed under: uncultured bacterium
Lineage: Bacteria
Description: partial 16S ribosomal RNA
Rfam family: Bacterial small subunit ribosomal RNA
Source: RNAcentral